RNAcentral lists this unclassified non-coding RNA (339 nucleotides) under soil metagenome. RNAcentral describes it as "partial contains 5.8S ribosomal RNA, internal transcribed spacer 2, and large subunit ribosomal RNA". The stretch from base 1 to 120 matches the Rfam family "5.8S ribosomal RNA", at positions 35 to 154 of the family's 154-position model. The record is from RNAcentral.
GAUGAAGAACGCAGCGAAAUGCGAUACGUAGUGUGAAUUGCAGAAUUCAGUGAAUCAUCGAAUCUUUGAACGCACAUUGCACCUCUCGGUAUUCCGGGAGGUAUGCCUGUUCGAGCGUCAUUUGUACCCUCAAGCUCAGCUUGGUGUUGGGUGUUUGUUCCGCCUCUGUGUGUGAACUCGCCUCAAAACAAUUGGCAGCCGGCGUACUUGUUUCGGAGCGCAGCACAUUUUGCGAUCCAGAUCAACGUACAGCGGCAUCCAAGAAGCCUUAUUUAACGCUCUUGACCUCGGAUCAGGUAGGGAUACCCGCUGAACUUAAGCAUAUCAAUAAGCGGAGGA